AUUGCCCGCUUUCUUCAUGCCUUACACAUGCAAGUCGAACGGUAACAGGUUAAGCUGACGAGUGGCGAACGGGUGAGUAAUGUAUCGGAACGUGCCCAGUCGUGGGGGAUAACUGCUCGAAAGAGCAGCUAAUACCGCAUACGACCUGAGGGUGAAAGCGGGGGAUCGCAAGACCUCGCGCGAUUGGAGCGGCCGAUAUCAGAUUAGGUAGUUGGUGAGGUAAAGGCUCACCAAGCCGACGAUCUGUAGCUGGUCUGAGAGGACGACCAGCCACACUGGGACUGAGACACGGCCCAGACUCCUACGGGAGGCAGCAGUGGGGAAUUUUGGACAAUGGGCGCAAGCCUGAUCCAGCCAUGCCGCGUGCGGGAAGAAGGCCUUCGGGUUGUAAACCGCUUUUGUCAGGGAAGAAAAGGUUCUGGCUAAUACCUGGGACUCAUGACGGUACCUGAAGAAUAAGCACCGGCUAACUACGUG
RNAcentral lists this ribosomal RNA (477 nucleotides) under uncultured bacterium. Its description in RNAcentral is "partial 16S ribosomal RNA". It matches the Rfam family "Bacterial small subunit ribosomal RNA", at positions 34 to 507 of the family's 1533-position model. The record is from RNAcentral.